CUGCAGUCGGAUUUAGAAUGUGUGGAAGAGCCCAGGUUGUGAAGAGGGGCGCGUCUAUCCUAGCUGGUAUCGUGUUACCCAAGCGCUUGGGGACCGCGGAGGUGUAGCACUGUAGUGCGUUUGAAGACUUUCUGUGUCCGAGGGGAGUGGAGAGCUGGGAGAGUUCAAGGUGACUGUGGAGAUGAGAGGGCCAGUCGCAGGGAGCAUACUUCUGCAAUCACAUAGCCUUGGACCUAUCACAACACUCCAUGUGGUACAGGGAGCUAUCACUGGUAACACAGUGAGAUAGGGGACGGGAGGCGAGAGGCGCAGGUGGAGGAGGACAUUUGAGAUGGGGGAGAGUCUGACAGUUGGACAUUCUAAGUCUGUGUACUGUUUCAGUUUUCAAACAGCCUACCUGUCUAUGAAUCUGGAGAUGUUUGGGAAGGAGAGGACAUCCCAGCCACUUGGCAGUUUUGUCACUGCUACUUCCUACCGACGGGCACCUGGCCAGCUGAGUGCAGGUGGGCUGUCCUUCAACAUAAGGCUCUUGAUGUUCUCACCCCAAAUACACACAGGUACACACAUACACAGGAGGAGUUGAAGGCGGAGCAUGCCUUGUACAUGCGGCAGCACCCGGAUCUCUGCGCCAUGAUGGCUGACUUCUUGCAGUUCCUGUUACUACGAAAACCGUGUGAUGUCAUUAUGUACGCCCGCGGACAGUGGUGUAAAGUACUUAAGUAAAAAUACUUGAAAGUACUACUUAAGUAGUUUUUGGGGGUAUCUGUACUUUACCCUUACUAUUUAUAUAUGUGGUCCCAUGUGGCUCAGUUGGUAGAGCAUGGCGCUUGCAAUGCCAGGGUUGUGGGUUCAAUUCCCACGGGGGGACCAGGGUUCAAUUCCCACGGGGGGACCAGGAUGAAUAUGUAUGAACUUUCCAAUUUGUAAGUCGCUCUGGAUAAGAGCGUCUGCUAAAUGACUUAAAUGUAUUGUAAAAUGUAUAUUUUUGACAACUUUUACUUCACUACUUUCCUAAAGAAAAUAAUGUACUUUUUACUCCAUACAUUUUCUCUGACACCCAAAAGUACUGGAAAAUGGUCUAAUUCACACACUCAUCAAGAGAACAUCCCUGGUCAUCCCUACUGCUUCUGAUCUGGCGGACUCACUAAACACAUGCUUAAUUUGUAAAUUAUGUUGGAG
This is a long non-coding RNA of Salvelinus fontinalis (brook trout), 1179 nucleotides long. RefSeq lists it as uncharacterized. The transcript has 4 exons. NCBI's taxonomy places the organism in Eukaryota, Metazoa, Chordata, Actinopteri, Salmoniformes, Salmonidae. The record is from RefSeq and is a predicted model, not a curated record.